This 484-nucleotide ribosomal RNA is filed under the name uncultured Glomeromycotina. RNAcentral describes it as "SSU rRNA". It matches the Rfam family "Eukaryotic small subunit ribosomal RNA", at positions 596 to 1081 of the family's 1831-position model. The record is from RNAcentral. Lineage: Eukaryota; Fungi; Glomeromycota.
AGCGUAUAUUAAAGUUGUUGCAGUUAAAAAGCUCGUAGUUGAAUUUCGGGGUCAGNAGGUCGGUCGUGCCACUGGUAUGAACUGGUUUUACUGAUUCCUCCCUCUUGAAGAACUGUAAUGCCAUUAAUUUGGUGUUGCAGGGAAUCAGGACUGUUACUUUGAAAAAAUUAGAGUGUUUAAAGCAGGCUUUAGCUUGAAUACAUUAGCAUGGAAUAAUGAAAUAGGACGUUUGAUCCUACUUUGUUGGUUUCUAGGAUUGACGUAAUGAUUAAUAGGGAUAGUUGGGGGCAUUAGUAUUCAAUUGUCAGAGGUGAAAUUCUUGGAUUUAUUGAAGACUAACUACUGCGAAAGCAUUUGCCAAGGAUGUUUUCAUUAAUCAAGAACGAAAGUUAGGGGAUCGAAGACGAUCAGAUACCGUCGUAGUCUUAACCAUAAACUAUGCCGACUAGGGAUCGGAUGAUGUUAAUUUUUUAAUGACUCAUUC